Rhea pennata is the source of this 938-nucleotide long non-coding RNA. RefSeq lists it as uncharacterized. Lineage: Eukaryota; Metazoa; Chordata; Aves; Rheiformes; Rheidae. The record is from RefSeq and is a predicted model, not a curated record. The transcript has 2 exons.
GCGGGAUGGAGCGGAGCCGGCUCGGCGGGUGGCAGGCAGCCUCAGCCGCCCGCUCGCCCCCACAGACCGAGCGCGGGGUCAGAGGGUUCCGGCUCACCGGGGCUCACACGCUCGGGGCGGGGGCGCAGGGGAGAACAACGCCGCGGGAGCGGCUGCGGUGGGAGCCCCGCACGGCCCCACGGCGGGGCAGGCCCCGCGCCUCGCUCCCAGCCCCAGAGGAAGCCCCCGCCUCGGCUGCAGGCGCCUUCAGCCAAGGAGGUGGGACCACUUCUGGCUCCUCCACCCCCAGCGCUCUGACGGAGGACACCCACAUCCAGGCCAGCCACCAGGCUCCGCUGAGCAAGGCUUUCUAGGCAAUUCCUUCGCCAACACCCCCACAUCCCCAGCGGCUGCCACUACCGGCCCCCCUCGUUCAGGGGGGAAAAAGGGGAACCCCUUCUCCCUCCCCAAAGCCCCUCCGCGGACGAGCCUCCACGCUAACGCAGCGCGGAAACCCAGGCUGUGCUCGCUCCUCCCCGCGCCCGCCGCCACCUUCCCCCACCCGACCCGACAGGGAGCCGGCAAGCCGAAAAUCCCUCCGUUGGCGGGCGAGGGACACCUGCCCCUAGCAUGGCGGAGGCCAGGGCACAGCUCCCCUCGCCGGCGCCAAGGCAGCCGUUCCGCCCCCCGGGGGUACGGCUCGGUAGGAAAGGUUUCUCACCGCUGAAGACCAUAGCAGCUGAAGCGCCCAUCACGGCGAAGAAGGAGGCGUACUCGGGGGUGCUGCCCGACGACAUGGCUCUGAGAUACAAACUGCCUGUUUCCUUGGAAUUUUUUGGUUUAUGAAGCUUUUUGCGAUUCUGCCUGUUCAAGUCAGGAAAAAGAAAGAACUGAAAGCCUCGACAAGACCUGGAAAUGGUUUGCCAAUGAAUGCAAUAAUAAAAAUAGCUGCUCUUGUU